Molecule: ribosomal RNA, 506 nt
Filed under: uncultured bacterium
Lineage: Bacteria
Description: partial 16S ribosomal RNA
Rfam family: Bacterial small subunit ribosomal RNA
Source: RNAcentral
GGUGAACGCUGGCGAUGUGCCUAAGACAUGCAAGUCGAACGGCAGCACAGAGGAGCUUGCUCCUUGGGUGGCGAGUGGCGGACGGGUGAGGAAUACAUCGGAAUCUACUCUGUCGUGGGGGAUAACGUAGGGAAACUUACGCUAAUACCGCAUACGACCUACGGGUGAAAGCAGGGGACCUUCCGGCCUUGCGCGAUUGAAUGAGCCGAUGUCGGAUUAGCUAGUUGGCGGGGUAAAGGCCCACCAAGGCGACGAUCCGUAGCUGGUCUGAGAGGAUGAUCAGCCACACUGGAACUGAGACACGGUCCAGACUCCUACGGGAGGCAGCAGUGGGGAAUAUUGGACAAUGGGCGCAAGCCUGAUCCAGCCAUACCGCGUGGGUGAAGAAGGCCUUCGGGUUGUAAAGCCCUUUUGUUGGGAAAGAAAUCCAGCUGGCUAAUACCCGGUUGGGAUGACGGUACCCAAAGAAUAAGCACCGGCUAACUUCGUGCCAGCCGCCGCCGUAA